AAUUCUGCUGCCAAACACCCCGUAAGAGCUCUGAGACAUAUGCAGGGAUGGUUGGGGCGAAAUUAGAAUAGGUGCUUAGAUCAGAAAAACAAAAACUCAGCUCAUUCAUUUCUUCAUUUUUCGAUGUCUUCAACUCUUCGUCCAUAGCAAACACAAUAUUUUCAGACCUUUUGUCCUCUUUGUAUUCUGGGUUAGCACUUCUUCACCUUCAUCCUUAAUGCUUCUCCUAUGUUUCUCCUUCUUUUGAGACACCAGUUUGAAGAUUUUGUUUUUGAAUAUAUUGCUUUCUUCGUUUGCCUUCGUUUCACGAUGUUGUGGGGUAAGGAAACCAAAGAAGAAGAAGAGAAUUUAGGGCUUCGAUAAUUUUCCGAAUAUACACUAGUUAUGUAAUGUCAGAAAAGUCUUGGCUUAGAUCCAAAUGAUCCAAUCAUUCUGUUUGUUGUUUUUUUGGGGCUCUUCAGCUACGUUAUGGUAUGAAUUUCUCUUUACUCAAAAGUAAAUUUUGCUAUCUGUAAUAGAUGUCAGAGAUAUGCAGGGCUGUUUAUUGGCUAUGGACAUAUGGAGGUUACUCAGGAGAUCUAACCCCUAAAUCAGCUUUGGAGCUUUAGCUGGGGACUCAAAUGCUGCACUUAUAGAUGUUCGC
Molecule: long non-coding RNA, 643 nt
Organism: Gastrolobium bilobum
Lineage: Eukaryota; Viridiplantae; Streptophyta; Magnoliopsida; Fabales; Fabaceae
Exons: 3
Source: RefSeq, a predicted model, not a curated record